AUACGGAGGGUGCGAGCGUUAAUCGGAAUUACUGGGCGUAAAGGGUGCGUAGGCGGCUUGAUAAGUCGGAUGUGAAAGCCCCGGGCUUAACCUGGGAAUUGCAUUCGAUACUGUCAGGCUAGAGUAUGUCAGAGGUUGGCGGAAUUCCUGGUGUAGCGGUGAAAUGCGUAGAUAUCAGGAGGAACACCAGUGGCGAAGGCGGCUAACUGGGGCAAUACUGACGCUGAGGCACGAAAGCGUGGGGAGCAAACAGGUUUAGAAACCCUAGUAGUCC
This 274-nucleotide ribosomal RNA is filed under the name uncultured bacterium. RNAcentral's name for it is "partial 16S ribosomal RNA". It matches the Rfam family "Bacterial small subunit ribosomal RNA", at positions 523 to 796 of the family's 1533-position model. The record is from RNAcentral.